This 76-nucleotide transfer RNA is filed under the name Longispora fulva. It matches the Rfam family "tRNA". From Rfam's summary of the family: Transfer RNA (tRNA) molecules are approximately 80 nucleotides in length. Lineage: Bacteria; Bacillati; Actinomycetota; Actinomycetes; Micromonosporales; Micromonosporaceae. The record is from Rfam by way of RNAcentral.
GCCCUGGUAGCUCAGCCUGGUUCAGAGCACCCGCCUGUCGAGCGGGGAGUCGCCGGUUCGAAUCCGGUCUGGGGCG